Zea mays is the source of this 351-nucleotide RNA transcript. It is a transcript of the gene named nucleolin pseudogene, with no coding region annotated. The record is from RefSeq and is marked validated. Lineage: Eukaryota; Viridiplantae; Streptophyta; Magnoliopsida; Poales; Poaceae. The transcript is spliced from 3 exons.
CUUCCAGUGCUAUAGAACAGAAGGGCAAAACUGAGCAAAAAGAACCACUAAGGGUAAAACUGAGCACAUCACCAAAAUAGAGGGCACCACCUUAAAAAACCCAAAGAAAAAGGGAGAUUCUUCUUGAGAGUGACUCUGAUGAUGACUCGGAUGAGGAAGUGCCUCCAAAGUCAAAGGCUCCAGCAGCAACUAUCAAAAAGAAAGAUUCCAGUGAAAGUGAGUCCGAGAGUGAUUCUGAGGUUGAGGAUGCAAGUAAAACUCAUCCUACCAAGAGAGCUGCUUCAAAAAUGAAAGAUGAAUCAAGUGAUGACUCAGACACUGAUGAUGAUGAAGAACCUCCUCAAAAGAAGU